RNAcentral lists this ribosomal RNA (292 nucleotides) under uncultured bacterium. RNAcentral's name for it is "partial 16S ribosomal RNA". It matches the Rfam family "Bacterial small subunit ribosomal RNA", at positions 505 to 796 of the family's 1533-position model. The record is from RNAcentral.
GUGUCAGCAGCCGCGGUAAGACGAACCAUCCAAACGUUAUUCGGAAUUACUGGGCUUAAAGGGUGCGUAGGCUGCGCAGAAAGUUGGGUGUGAAAUCCCUCGGCUUAACCGAGGAACUGCGCCCAAAACUACUGUGCUUGAGGGAGACAGAGGUGAGCGGAACUUAGGGUGGAGCGGUGAAAUGCGUUGAUAUCCUAAGGAACACCCGUGGCGAAAGCGGCUCACUGGGUCUCUUCUGACGCUGAUGCACGAAAGCUAGGGGAGCGAACGGGAUUAGAUACCCCCGUAGUCC